GUGCUCGUAACUCAGUGGUAGAGUGUGAGAUUUCAAUGCAUAUUCACACCCCGGUAUAAUCGAUCUCGAAGUCGCGUGUUAGAACCACGCCGGGCACU
Non-coding RNA from Moniliophthora roreri, 98 nucleotides. The record is from Rfam. NCBI's taxonomy places the organism in Eukaryota, Fungi, Basidiomycota, Agaricomycetes, Agaricales, Marasmiaceae.